GAGGCCUUGGCUUAAUUAAAGUGUUUGAGUUGCAAUCAGAANAUGUAUUAUUUAUACAGGCCUUC
Molecule: transfer RNA, 65 nt
Filed under: Cyrtodactylus condorensis
Lineage: Eukaryota; Metazoa; Chordata; Lepidosauria; Squamata; Gekkonidae
Description: tRNA-Ala
Source: RNAcentral